AACGAACGCUGGCGGCAGGCUUAACUCAUGCAAGUCGAACGCAUCCUUCGGGGUGAGUGGCAGACGGGUGAGUAACGCGUGGGAACGUGCCCUUCAGUUCGGAAUAACCCAGGGAAACUUGGGCUAAUACCGGAUACGUGCGAGAGCAGAAAGAUUUAUCGCUGAAGGAUCGGCCCGCGUCUGAUUAGCUAGUUGGGGGGGUAAUGGCCCACCAAGGCGACGAUCAGUAGCUGGUCUGAGAGGAUGAUCAGCCACAUUGGGACUGAGACACGGCCCAAACUCCUACGGGAGGCACCAGUGGGGAAUAUUGGACAAUGGGCGCAAGCCUGUUCCAGCCAUGCCGCGUGAGUGAUGACGGCCUUAGGGUUGUAAAGCUCUUUCGUCCGGGACGAUAAUGACGGUACCGGAGGAAGAAGCCCCGGCUAACUUCGUGCCAGCCGCCGCCGUAA
RNAcentral lists this ribosomal RNA (449 nucleotides) under uncultured bacterium. Its description in RNAcentral is "partial 16S ribosomal RNA". It matches the Rfam family "Bacterial small subunit ribosomal RNA", at positions 29 to 523 of the family's 1533-position model. The record is from RNAcentral.